CUAGAACACACCCGUGAUAUCACGGGUCCGUGACUGAAUUAAAGUAUAUAACUAUGUGCAAGCCUUAUUUUAGUAUUAGUAUUGUCAUCUGAUAAAGUCAUGCCGAUUAUAAGAUACACAGUUUUUCUCUGCUUUCAAGUCUUUCUGUUUGAACCCGUCGAACUGAAACAAUAAUAUUAAUUAUUUGGAAAACAAAAGGUCCUGGAAUGGAGUAUUUUUUAAUCAACAGCAUUGUCCCAUAUA
Molecule: long non-coding RNA, 243 nt
Filed under: Mytilus galloprovincialis (Mediterranean mussel)
Lineage: Eukaryota; Metazoa; Mollusca; Bivalvia; Mytilida; Mytilidae
Source: RNAcentral